Molecule: non-coding RNA, 26 nt
Filed under: Mus musculus (house mouse)
Lineage: Eukaryota; Metazoa; Chordata; Mammalia; Rodentia; Muridae
Source: RNAcentral
UUUGGAAUUACUUCCCUUCCUGGUUC